RNAcentral lists this ribosomal RNA (440 nucleotides) under uncultured bacterium. Its description in RNAcentral is "partial 16S ribosomal RNA". It matches the Rfam family "Bacterial small subunit ribosomal RNA", at positions 338 to 795 of the family's 1533-position model. The record is from RNAcentral.
CCUACGGGAUGCAGCAGUGGGGGAUAUUGCACAAUGGGGGGAACCCUGAUGCAGCGACGCCGCGUGGGUGAAGGAGCGUUUCGGCGCGUAAAGCUCUAUCAGCAGGGAAGAAAAUGACGGUACCUGAGUAAGAAGCCCCGGCUAACUACGUGCCAGCAGCCGCGGGAAUACGUAGGGGGCAAGCGUUAUCCGGCUUUACUGGGUGUAAAGGGAGCGUAGACGGCAGUGCAAGUCUGGAGUGAAAGGCGGGGGCUCAACCCCCGGACUGCUCUGGAAACUGUACGGCUGGAGUGCAGGAGAGGUAAGUGGAAUUCCUAGUGUAGCGGUGAAAUGUGUAGAUAUUAGGAGGAACACCAGUGGCGAAGGCGGCUUACUGGACUGUAACUGACGUUGAGGCUCGAAAGCGUGGGGAGCAAACAGGAUUAGAUACCCCUGUAGUC